GACGUAGGGUGCAAGCGUUGUCCGGAUUUAUUGGGCGUAAAGGGCGCGUAGGCGGCGAUUCAAGUGACGGGUGAAAUCCCUCGGCUUAACCGAGGAACUGCCUGUCAGACUGGAUUGCUUGAGGCCGGGAGAGGCGAGUGGAAUUCCCAGUGUAGCGGUGAAAUGCGUAGAUAUUGGGAGGAACACCAGUGGCGAAGGCGGCUCACUGGACUGGUACUGACGCUGAUGCGCGAAAGCGUGGGGAGCAAACAGG
RNAcentral lists this ribosomal RNA (253 nucleotides) under uncultured bacterium. RNAcentral's name for it is "partial 16S ribosomal RNA". It matches the Rfam family "Bacterial small subunit ribosomal RNA", at positions 524 to 776 of the family's 1533-position model. The record is from RNAcentral.